UGUCACCUACCUAUAGCUAAUGGAGUAUUUAAGUGGAGCUCAUAGGAGUGAAAAACAGCUCAUACAUAUGUUGUCUAAUCGAGCCAUGGAUCCAAAGGAACUCAGCAUAUAAUUAAAUCAAGAUGUGCAUGUGUGGUGGAGUAAAUGAUAGUGAUGGUAAAAAUGUAUAAGUGAUAAUAAAACUUACUUCUCAUUGCUCCUCAUAUUGCUAUCUCUCCUCUUCUUUGAUCUUUGCUUUGGGAGAACAUGGGCUAUCUUUUUUUU
RNAcentral lists this long non-coding RNA (264 nucleotides) under Sorghum bicolor (sorghum). RNAcentral's name for it is "long non-coding RNA (SBIC_LNC016357)". Lineage: Eukaryota; Viridiplantae; Streptophyta; Magnoliopsida; Poales; Poaceae. The record is from RNAcentral.